This 147-nucleotide microRNA precursor is filed under the name Canis lupus familiaris (dog). Its description in RNAcentral is "miRNA (ENSCAFG00000058001.1)". The stretch from base 25 to 122 matches the Rfam family "mir-8813 microRNA precursor family". The record is from RNAcentral. Lineage: Eukaryota; Metazoa; Chordata; Mammalia; Carnivora; Canidae.
UCCCAGGUCGCUUUGCACAGACCCUGGUGACCUGAGGCUCCCUGGCUGUCACUCUCUCCCAUCCCCUCCGGGCCCCAGGGGUCACAGGCUGAGUCCCAGGAAAGUCUGUGGUGUCCUGACCCUGGCGUCUGGCCGCCCCUGGAAGGC